CCUACGGGAGGCAGCAGUGGGGAAUUUUGCGCAAUGGGCGAAAGGGUGACCCAGCAACGCCGCGUGGAGGAUGAAGUCCUUCUGGACGUAAACUCCUUUUAGAGGGGACGAAAAGCCCGAUUUGUCGGGAAUUGACGGUACCCUCAGAAAAAGCACCGGCUAACUACGUGCCAGCAGCCGCGGUAAUACGUAGGGUGCAAGCGUUGUCCGGAUUCACUGGGUGUAAAGGGUGCGCAGGCGGGCUCUUAAGUCAAAGGUGAAAUCUCUCGGCUUAACCGAGAAAUUGCCUUUGAUACUGAGAGCCUUGAGUACGGGAGAGGGAGAUGGAAUUCCAGGUGUAGCGGUGAAAUGCGUAGAUAUCUGGAGGAACACCGGAGGCGAGGGCGGUCUCCGGGCCCGUUACUGACGCUCAGGCACGAAAGCGGGGGGAGCAAACAGGAUUAGAUCCCCCUGUAGU
This 457-nucleotide ribosomal RNA is filed under the name uncultured Ignavibacteria bacterium. Its description in RNAcentral is "partial 16S ribosomal RNA". It matches the Rfam family "Bacterial small subunit ribosomal RNA", at positions 338 to 794 of the family's 1533-position model. Lineage: Bacteria; Pseudomonadati; Ignavibacteriota; Ignavibacteria. The record is from RNAcentral.